RNAcentral lists this ribosomal RNA (454 nucleotides) under uncultured Prevotella sp. RNAcentral's name for it is "partial 16S ribosomal RNA". It matches the Rfam family "Bacterial small subunit ribosomal RNA", at positions 341 to 792 of the family's 1533-position model. The record is from RNAcentral. Lineage: Bacteria; Pseudomonadati; Bacteroidota; Bacteroidia; Bacteroidales; Prevotellaceae.
ACGGGAGGCAGCAGUGAGGAAUAUUGGUCAAUGGACGCAAGUCUGAACCAGCCAAGUAGCGUGAGGGAUGACGGCCCUAUGGGUUGUAAACCUCUUUUGCGGGGGAAUAAAGUGCGCCAUGCGUGGUGUUUUGCAUGUACCCUGCGAAUAAGGAUCGGCUAACUCCGUGCCAGCAGCCGCGGUAAUACGGAGGAUCCGAGCGUUAUCCGGAUUUAUUGGGUUUAAAGGGAGCGUAGGCCGUGCUUUAAGCGUGUUGUGAAAUGUAGGCGCCCAACGUCUGCACUGCAGCGCGAACUGGAGCACUUGAGUACGCAGGAAGUAGGCGGAAUUCGUCGUGUAGCGGUGAAAUGCUUAGAUAUGACGAAGAACUCCGAUUGGGAAGCCAGCUUACUGUAGCGCCACUGACGCUGAUGCUCGAAAGCGUGGGUAUCGAACAGGAUUAGAUACCCUGGUA